AACGAACGCUGGCGGCAUGCCUAACACAUGCAAGUCGAACGAGACCUUCGGGUCUAGUGGCGCACGGGUGCGUAACGCGUGGGAACCUGCCCUUAGGUUCGGAAUAACUCCCCGAAAGGGGUGCUAAUACCGGAUAAUGUCUUCGGACCAAAGAUUUAUCGCCUUUGGAUGUGCCCGCGUUGGAUUAGCUAGUUGGUAGGGUAAAAGCCUACCAAGGCGACGAUCCAUAGCUGGUCUGAGAGGAUGGUCAGCCACACUGGGACUGAGACACGGCCCAGACUCCUACGGGAGGCAGCAGUGGGGGAUAUUGGACAAUGGGCGAAAGGCUGAUCCAGCAAUGCCGCGUGAGUGAUGAAGGCCUUAGGGUUGUAAAGCUCUUUUAACCGGGAUGAUAAUGACAGUACCGGGAGAAUAAGCUCCGGCUAACUCCGUG
RNAcentral lists this ribosomal RNA (433 nucleotides) under uncultured bacterium. Its description in RNAcentral is "partial 16S ribosomal RNA". It matches the Rfam family "Bacterial small subunit ribosomal RNA", at positions 29 to 507 of the family's 1533-position model. The record is from RNAcentral.